AUGUUGAUAGUAUAUCCAGUACAGUUGCCUUCCAAGCAGAAAGACCAGAAACGGCCAACAUA
RNAcentral lists this transfer RNA (62 nucleotides) under Lanceolaria gladiola. Its description in RNAcentral is "tRNA-Gly". Lineage: Eukaryota; Metazoa; Mollusca; Bivalvia; Unionida; Unionidae. The record is from RNAcentral.